This 253-nucleotide ribosomal RNA is filed under the name uncultured bacterium. RNAcentral's name for it is "partial 16S ribosomal RNA". It matches the Rfam family "Bacterial small subunit ribosomal RNA", at positions 524 to 776 of the family's 1533-position model. The record is from RNAcentral.
UACGUAGGCAGCAAGCGUUGUUCGGAAUUACUGGGCGUAAAGAGUGUGUAGGCGGUGCUCUAAGUCUGUUGUGAAAUCUCCCGGCUUAACUGGGAGGGUGCGGCGGAGACUGGAGUGCUAGAGUGUGGGAGAGGUAAGCGGAAUUCCUGGUGUAGCGGUGAAAUGCGUAGAUAUCGGGAGGAACACCUGUGGUGUAGACGGCUAUCUGGACGGCGACUGACGCUGAGACACGAAAGCGUGGGUAGCAAACAGG